Molecule: long non-coding RNA, 3380 nt
Filed under: Homo sapiens (human)
Lineage: Eukaryota; Metazoa; Chordata; Mammalia; Primates; Hominidae
Description: HSALNT0121053
Source: RNAcentral
AAAGCAGAUUGCCCUCCCUAAUGUGAAUGGCUCUCAUCCAUUCAAUUAAAGGCCUGAAUAGAAUAAAUAGGCUAAUUCUUCUGUGAAAAGCGGGGAACUCCUCUUGCCUGACUUCUUUGAGCUGGGACAUUGUUUUUUUUCUGGCUUUUGGGCUUGAACUGAAACAUCAGUUCUUCCUGGGUCUCAAGCCUGCCAGCUUUCAGACUGGAACUACACCAUUGGCUCUCCUGGUUCUCAGGCCUUCAUACUCAGACUGGAACUACACAUCAGCUCUCCUGGGUCUCCAGCUUGCUUUCAUGCGCGUCCGUGUGAAGAGAGCACCAAACAGGCUUUGUAUGAAGGUCACCUUUCCCAGGUUACUGAGUCCCUUCUUUUCUGCUAGGAGAAGCUUUGCCUCAGUCUCAUAUCAGCCACAUACUACUGGGAGAUACUUGUCUCCAAAUUCCUGAAUGGAGACACUGCACCUUUUCUCCUUGUAUCCUCUGACAAGUUUGAACUUUACCAGAACCCUGUGAUCCUGGAAAACAGAAAAGGUUAAUAAAUGCCCCCACUGCUUUGUGUUCCAGAAAGGGCUUUGUGCAGCUAACCAUUAUUCCCCAUGUGACUUAAAUCAGAUUCACCAAUGCUGCCUUGUGGGCAUUGAUAUGGUUCAAAUGUUUUGUCCCCUUCAAAUCUCAUGUUGAAAUGUGACCUCUAAUGUUGGAGGUGGGGCCUGGUGGGAGGUGUUUCGAUCAUGGGGGUGGAUCCCUCAUGAAGGGCUUGGUGCUGUUCUUGCAGUAAUGAGUGAGUUCUUGAUUUUAGUUCUCAUGAGAUCUGGUUGUUCAAAGAGCCUGGCACCUCCUCCUUUCUCUCUUGCUCCCUCUCUUGCCAUGUGGCGUGCCUGUUCCUACUUUGCCUUCUGCCAUGAUUGUAAGCUUCCCAAGGCCCUCACCAGAAGCAAAUGCUGACACUAUGCUUCUUGUACAGCCUGCAGAACUGUGAACCAAAUGAACCUCUGUUCUUUUUAAAUUACCCAAUUUCACAUAUAUUUUUGUAGCAACACAGAGUAAAUAGCCAUCAACACUUAUAACAAGGCCAGACGCAGACCCUCUAAAUUCCUUUUGUUUGUCUCAUAAAUGAUAUUAGCUAAGCUGUUUUGUCCCCACUGAUCAAUCAGAAAAAAAUGCAGGCUAAACCAACUUUGGUUAAGAUUCUUUGCUUCUCCUAGGCUGAACUUUGUCCCGCCCUCAGCCUCAGCCAGCACACAGCUCCUCCUCCACAGCCUCUCCCUGGAGUACGCUGCAGAGUUCAGGGUAAAAUAUUCCCUCAUCUACUGGCAGAUCGUGUCACUCCUGUCAUGGUACUUCUCCACACCUGGUUCUUUCUAGCCUUGUCUAUUCUUUCCUAUGAAAGAGAAUCUCUUUUUUCCUAACCCUUGAGAUACUUCCAGAUCUCAUGAUAAGAAUGUUCUCCAAACUACAACAGCCCCUUUCUCCUUACUGUAAUGGUCCAGUCUCCCUCUUGCACUAAUCCUUUCGAAUAAAGUCUCUUUAUUUUAUUUUAUUCUAUUUUAAGAUGGAGUCUUGCUCUGUUGCCAGGCUGGAGUGCACUGGCGUGAUCUCAGCUUAUUGCAAUCUCCGCCUCCCGGGUUCAAGGAAUUCUCCUGUCUCAGCCUCCCCAGUAGCUGGGACUACAGGCCCAUGGCACCACGCCCAGCUAAUUUUUGUAUUUUUAGUAGAGACUGGGUUUCACCAUUUUGUCCAGGAUGGUCUCGAUUUCUUGACCUUGUGAUCCGCCCGCCUCGGCCUCCCGAAGGGCUGGGAUUACAGGCGUGAGCCACCCACCGCACCCAGCCUGAAUAAAGUCUCUUCUUACCUAAGUGCCAAAUUGUUUUUGGACAUUCUCAGAGUGUUUAAAAAUGCAUGCUGUAUUGAAUUAAAAUAUGUUAUUAGCUCAAAAUUCAAUCACAAAAACUGUAUUAAGCAAUUAAUAUAUGAGGAAUAAGUUGUAUCAGAUUUUGCCAGAGCUUCCCUGACACAUGCAAAUUCAUGGUUUGGUUGGGUAGAAUAGACACAAAUGCUCUCAGUUAAAUAACAAAAGAAGAGUAAAAUAACACAAGCAUAGUAGGUGAUAAAGGCAGUGUGAUUAAUCUCUGAGUAGCAAAGAGAAUUAUUCUUUUGAGUUCCAAGGAAGCAGAGCUCAUAGUUUUGAGGUUUAAAUUUGGGCUUGGGUGUUUUUAGUAACUUUGGAUGAAGAACACAAGUUUUAUUUUCCCACCUGAGUGCAGAAUGGUAAGUGUGGAUUGUAGAGCAAAGGAAAUUAACUUCCACCAGUGGGAUUUUGAUCCUCUGAUAUCAGAAUGUGUCACAGCCUGCAGAGAUUAAAUUUCUCAGCAUUAGGUGUAAACAGACACUCACUCCCAUGACUUUGCUUUCAAAAAAAUUAGCUGACAUUUAAGCUUGAAAUAGCCAUGUUGUUGCACCCACUAUUUAAUUCAGAUAUAUCACAGAUGCUGCAUUUGGAUGUUUAUUCUAUAAAAAAAACUGUGUAAAAGUGGAUUGGUUGGAAGAGUUGUAAUUACUCAGAUAGGAUCAGGAAAGAAUAUGGGAGAAGGUAAAGGGGGAACUCCAUCUCACCACUGUGCUGGGUGCCUGAAAGAUGUCACAACAUUUAAUUCCCAUAAUAUUUCCUUAAAGUAGGUGCAUAUUUCCCCAUAGUGAAGGUGCGGAGAGCUCUUGGUAAGGAAUAACUCUUCAAGUAGAGAAAUAAGAUAAGAAAUGACCAUUGACUUUCCACACCAGUUAACUUUUCAUAGUACCUUAGUUUUGGCUUGGAAUUCUGAUAUGGUGGUGAGGGUUCUAAAUCAUUAGUAUGAAAUAAGAGUAUCCUCAGCAUAGCAUUAAACAGAAAAUUGCUUUGAGGGCAGAGAAAUUCUUGGGAUCCUGCAGAAAAGACAAAUGUGGUAUAUUAUAUUUAGUAAUUGCUUGCUGUAAUGGGUACAAGAGGUUAUACCUGUUACAAUGAUUAAGAAAUACAGUCCCUAAAGAAAUGGAAUGCAAUGUUCUACUUAAAGGAGGACACUAGAAUAAAUAUGAUUUCACAGUCCAUACUUUUAGGGUUGUAUUUUUCUAAUUAUAACACCAAACUGUAGUUCCUUUAAAUAAAUACCUGAAGAUGUAAAGACACAACUUAUAUUAACUGCUAAUGUAUUCCUCAGUGCCCAAUUGUGAUUCUUAUAUUCAGCUCUGCAUUCUGCUUUUUAAUUCCACUUGUUGUAGAUUUUUGUAUUAAGGUAUAUAUUUUAGUGUCUCUUUGUUCUGCUAACAUGAAAUGUGUUAUGAUUUAUUCAAUCAUCCCUAUAAUAAAGAUUAAAGUUUUUUCUGAGUUUCCAGAAACAGCAC